GAUGAACGCUGGCGGCGUGCCUAAUACAUGCAAGUCGAGCGAACGGACGAGAAGCUUGCUUCUCUGAUGUUAGCGGCGGACGGGUAAGUAACACGUGGAUAACCUACCUAUAAGACUGGGAUAACUUCGGGAAACCGGAGCUAAUACCGGAUAAUAUUUUGAACCGCAUGGUUCAAAAGUGAAAGACGGUCUUGCUGUCACUUAUAGAUGGAUCCGCGCUGCAUUAGCUAGUUGGUAAGGUAACGGCUUACCAAGGCAACGAUGCAUAGCCGACCUGAGAGGGUGAUCGGCCACACUGGAACUGAGACACGGUCCAGACUCCUACGGGAGGCAGCAGUAGGGAAUCUUCCGCAAUGGGCGAAAGCCUGACGGAGCAACGCCGCGUGAGUGAUGAAGGUCUUCGGAUCGUAAAACUCUGUUAUUAGGGAAGAACAUAUGUGUAAGUAACUGCGCACAUCUUGACGGUACCUAAUCAGAAAGCCACGGCUAACUACGUG
RNAcentral lists this ribosomal RNA (497 nucleotides) under uncultured bacterium. Its description in RNAcentral is "partial 16S ribosomal RNA". It matches the Rfam family "Bacterial small subunit ribosomal RNA", at positions 28 to 507 of the family's 1533-position model. The record is from RNAcentral.